Molecule: ribosomal RNA, 468 nt
Filed under: uncultured bacterium
Lineage: Bacteria
Description: partial 16S ribosomal RNA
Rfam family: Bacterial small subunit ribosomal RNA
Source: RNAcentral
GACGAACGCUGGCGGCGUGCUUAACACAUGCAAGUCGAACGGAAAGGCCCUGCUUUUGUGGGGUGCUCGAGUGGCGAACGGGUGAGUAACACGUGAGUAACCUGCCCUUGACUUUGGGAACACUUCAGGAAACUGGGGCUAAUACCGGAUAGGAGCUCCUGCUGCAUGGUGGGGGUUGGAAAGUUUCGGCGGUUGGGGAUGGACUCGCGGCUUAUCAGCUUGUUGGUGGGGUAGUGGCUUACCAAGGCUUUGACGGGUAGCCGGCCUGAGAGGGUGACCGGCCACAUUGGGACUGAGAUACGGCCCAGACUCCUACGGGAGGCAGCAGUGGGGAAUAUUGCACAAUGGGCGGAAGCCUGAUGCAGCAACGCCGCGUGCGGGAUGACGGCCUUCGGGUUGUAAACCGCUUUCGCCUGUGACGAAGCGUGAGUGACGGUAAUGGGUAAAGAAGCACCGGCUAACUACGUG